Molecule: ribosomal RNA, 395 nt
Filed under: uncultured bacterium
Lineage: Bacteria
Description: bacterial SSU rRNA
Rfam family: Bacterial small subunit ribosomal RNA
Source: RNAcentral
AUUGAACGCUGGCGGCAUGCCUUACACAUGCAAGUCGAACGGCAGCGGACCUUCGGGUGCCGGCGAGUGGCGAACGGGUGAGUAAUAUAUCGGAACGUACCUUUCAGUGGGGGAUAACGUAGCGAAAGUUACGCUAAUACCGCAUAUUCUGUGAGCAGGAAAGCAGGGGAUCGCAAGACCUUGCGCUGAUUGAGCGGCCGAUAUCAGAUUAGCUAGUUGGUGAGGUAAAGGCUCACCAAGGCGACGAUCUGUAGCGGGUCUGAGAGGAUGAUCCGCCACACUGGAACUGAGACACGGUCCAGACUCCUACGGGAGGCAGCAGUGGGGAAUUUUGGACAAUGGGCGCAAGCCUGAUCCAGCCAUGCCGCGUGAGUGAAGAAGGCCUGGUGUAAGAC